Molecule: ribosomal RNA, 459 nt
Filed under: uncultured bacterium
Lineage: Bacteria
Description: bacterial SSU rRNA
Rfam family: Bacterial small subunit ribosomal RNA
Source: RNAcentral
CGGGUGAACGCUGGCGGCGUGCCUAACACAUGCAAGUCGAGCGGUGCAGUUUGAAGCUUCGGUGGAAAGCUGCAUAGCGGCGGACGGGUGAGGAAAACGUAGGAACGUGCCCCUUGGAGUUGGAUAGCCACGGGAAACUGUGGGUAAACCGACAUAGACUCGAGAGAGUAAAGGCCGAAAGGCGCCAAGGGAGCGGCCUGCGGCCCAUCAGGUAGUUGGUAGUGUAAAGGACUACCAAGCCGACGACGGGUAGCCGGUCUGAGAGGAUGGCCGGCCACAAGGGCACUGAGAGACGGGCCCUACUCCUACGGGAGGCAGCAGUGAGGAAUAUUGCGCAAUGGGGGCAACCCUGACGCAGCAACGCCGCGUGAGUGAGGAAGGUUUUCGGACUGUAAAGAUCUGUCCUAUGGGACGAAACAAAUGACGGUACCAUAGGAGGAAGCCCCGGCUAACUACGUG